GAUGAACGCUGGCGGCGUGCCUAAUACAUGCCAGUCGAGCGAACAGACGAGGAGCUUGCUCCUCUGACGUUAGCGGCGGACGGGUGAGUAACACGUGGAUAACCUACCUAUAAGACUGGGAUAACUUCGGGAAACCGGAGCUAAUACCGGAUAAUAUAUUGAACCGCAUGGUUCAAUAGUGAAAGACGGUUUUGCUGUCACUUAUAGAUGGAUCCGCGCCGCAUUAGCUAGUUGGUAAGGUAACGGCUUACCAAGGCAACGAUGCGUAGACGACCUGAGAGGGUGGUCGGCCACACUGGAACUGAGACACGGUCCAGACUCCUACGGGAGGCAGCAGUAGGGAAUCUUCCGCAAUGGGCGAAAGCCUGACGGAGCAACGCCGCGUGAGUGAUGAAGGUCUUCGGAUCGGAAAACUCUGUUAUUAGGGAAGAACAAAUGUGUAAGUAACUAUGCACGUCUUGACGGUACCUAAUCAGAAAGCCACGGCUAACUACGUG
Molecule: ribosomal RNA, 497 nt
Filed under: uncultured bacterium
Lineage: Bacteria
Description: partial 16S ribosomal RNA
Rfam family: Bacterial small subunit ribosomal RNA
Source: RNAcentral